This 69-nucleotide transfer RNA is filed under the name Neodon medogensis. RNAcentral describes it as "tRNA-Glu". The record is from RNAcentral. Lineage: Eukaryota; Metazoa; Chordata; Mammalia; Rodentia; Cricetidae.
GUUUCUAUAGUUGAAUAACAACGAUGAUUUUUCAUGUCAUUGGUCGUGGUUGAAGCCUACGUAGAAAUU